CCUACGGGUGGCAGCAGUGAGGAAUAUUGGUCAAUGGGCGGGAGCCUGAACCAGCCAAGUCGCGUGAGGGAAGACGGUCCUAUGGAUUGUAAACCUCUUUAGGCGGGGAGCAAUGCCGGGCACGUGUGCCCGGAGGGAGAGUACCCGCAGAAUAAGCAUCGGCUAACUCCGUGCCAGCAGCCGCGGUAAUACGGGGGAUGCGAGCGUUAUCCGGAUUUAUGGGGUUUAAAGGGUGUGUAGGCGGAUUUUUAAGUCAGCGGUAAAAUGUCCGGGCUCAACCCGGGCCUGCCGUUGAAACUGGUGAUCGUGAGUGGGCGAGAAGUAGGCGGAAUGCGUGGUGUAGCGGUGAAAUGCAUAGAUAUCACGAAGAACUCCGAUUGCGAAGGCAGCAUACCGGCGCCCGACUGACGCUGAGGCACGAAAGCGUGGGGAUCGAACAGGAUUAGAUACCCUUGUAGUC
Molecule: ribosomal RNA, 460 nt
Filed under: uncultured bacterium
Lineage: Bacteria
Description: partial 16S ribosomal RNA
Rfam family: Bacterial small subunit ribosomal RNA
Source: RNAcentral